UACAGAGGUCCCGAGCGUUGUUCGGAUUCACUGGGCGUAAAGGGUGCGUAGGUGGCUAGGUAAGUUCGAUGUGAAAUCUCCGAGCUCAACUCGGAAAUGUCAUUGGAUACUAUCUGGCUUGAGGGUCGGAGGGGAGACUGGAAUUCUCGGUGUAGCAGUGAAAUGCGUAGAUAUCGAGAGGAACACCAGUGGCGAAGGCGAGUCUCUGGACGACACCUGACACUGAGGCACGAAAGCUAGGGGAGCAAACAGG
RNAcentral lists this unclassified non-coding RNA (253 nucleotides) under uncultured Verrucomicrobiota bacterium. RNAcentral's name for it is "uncultured Verrucomicrobia bacterium contains 16S-23S intergenic spacer region". It matches the Rfam family "Bacterial small subunit ribosomal RNA", at positions 524 to 776 of the family's 1533-position model. The record is from RNAcentral. Lineage: Bacteria; Pseudomonadati; Verrucomicrobiota.